Molecule: long non-coding RNA, 1794 nt
Organism: Prionailurus viverrinus (fishing cat)
Lineage: Eukaryota; Metazoa; Chordata; Mammalia; Carnivora; Felidae
Exons: 5
Source: RefSeq, a predicted model, not a curated record
UCAUGACCUGAGCCAAAGUCAGAAGCUAACUUACUGAGCCACCCAGAUGAAGAAGAGAUAAAAAGGAAGAAGCUGAAGGAUGAUGGGAGUAGGAAGGAAGAGAAGAAAAGAAGAAGGCAAAAACCAGCCAACCGAACACCACUAUCACCACCAAAAAAAAAGAGGUGGGAAAUGAACAGGGAUGAAAGUUUCAAGCAGGUGGCUUUGGGGCCAUGAGCCCAGCCCCUGGCCAGCACACACCCCAGAGCUUUGUGGGAAUUACAAACAGGUGGACCUUCCUCGAGCUGGUGCAGACCCACCCAGGGCCGCCACGUGACUACCUGAGCACAGACCGGCUUCCAGUCCCCGGUGCGCCCUUGUCUAGGCACCUCUGUGCCCACGGAAUGACACAAACGGACUAAACAACACAAUGAGAGGGCUUGGAAUGUUCUGCCUGGUGGCGUGGCUGUUUCUGUGCACCCCACAGAUCUCACCUCUCUGUAGCCAAGGCCGUGCAUUCGUUCCCCGUGGCACCUGGCACAUGGAAUUAACUCGCCAUUUCUAAAAUGAAACUGACUUGCUGUACACGGAAACCAGACGGAAGGGGUACUUGAAAACAAAAUCAGCAGCCUCACACAAAUAAGAGUUGGACCAACAUUGGAAGUUCUGCCAUCGAGUGGACCCACAGAGCCCCAGAGAGUACAGUGGCUUCUGUCUACACACAGGCAGCGAAUCCCCAGAAGAGACACCUGGCUGAAUGCCUGUGGAAAGCUUCUAAGCACCAGAUUCCUGAAGAGAUGCCUCUUUCAGGUGUCUUCUGAUAAAAGACUUUUCAGUGGGAGGCCCAGGCUUGCCUCUGUGCAAGAACCAGAAUUCUGAGGAUGUUAGCUGUAUUAUUCCACUCCGGUUGCCAUAACAAAGUACCUCACACUGGGUGUCUCAACCAACAGAAGUUUAUUUUCCCACAAUUCCGAAGGCUGGAAGUCCAAGGUCAAAGUGUUGGCAGGUUUUGUGUCUUCUGAGGACUCUUUUUUGGGGGGCACCUGGGUGGCUCCGUCAGUUAUGCAUCCAACUCUUGGUUUUGGCUCAGGUCAUGAUCUCGCAGUUUGUGAGUUAGAGCCCCACAUCAGGCUCCGUGCUGACAGUGUGGAGCCUGCUUGGGAUUCUCUCUCUCCCUCUCUCUCUGCCUCUCUCUCAAAAUCAAUCAAUCAAUCAAUCAACCUCAGGACUCUUUUUCUCCUUGGCUUUAGACAGCUUCUCCCUGUAUCCUCACAUGGCCUUCCCUCUGUACCCGUCUAUGUCCAAAUCUCCUGUUCUUGUAAGGACACCAGUCAUGUUGGAGUAGGGGCCACCAUAUGGCCUCAUUUUAUCAUAAUCACCUCAUUAAAGCUCUGUCUCCAAAUACAGUCACAUUGUGAGGCACUGGGAGUUAGGACUCCAACAUAUGGAUUUGGGACAUUGAAGUAAACAGAGGGGUCGAUGCCACUUAAGGUUGUAACUUACUGGGCAAGAAUAGAAGAGUGUACAAAAGAGGGUUUUUGAGGAGAAAAGGAGGAUUAUGUGCAGGAAAUGUCCUAGAGGCUCUGCUUAAUGAGACCUCACUGAAACCUCCUUAACCCUCACUUAAACAGCCACCUUACAAGGCAGUUUUUCAUCUUCUUGUGUAGUGUCGUUUUCCUUUCCUUUUUGACUUUUCUGUCUUAUUCUGAUGGUGGUUGUUAAGUCUGCUAAAGAACAUAACUUACACUUGUUCACUCUCAUUUUGAAGUUUUCUCUUGCAUUCACUGAACCGUGGUAAAAAUGCAUGUAAGCCUG